AUGGCCGUUUAUUUUCUGUGAUACGUCCCGGUCGCACGUUAACAUACCGUACACGAAAUAAAAUCCGUCGCUCGUCACGGUACAACCGAUAUGCACGUAUCAACAAAGAGGUGUGUUAUCUCUGAUUCCUCGUUCGGGACUGAAACCUAACACGUCUGUCCAAACCUGAUACGGCCCCAAGGAAGGUAGCAUCCCGCGUGCAGUAAAUCUAAAAAAACCUGUUAUCUAAUCGAUGAAAAACCACGUUGAGCUGAGCACAGACGAAAAAUGCAAGUAAAAUGAAAAAAAUCGAAUCCGAUAGAAUAUUUCGCGGUACAAAUUUUCGCGAUCGAAUUUCCGGUUAGUUUAGACGUGACUUCGGUAUAGUAAACAAAUGAAAGAAAAUGCACCGAGAUGAUUUGGGCAUGGGGCGCAGUGUAAGCGUUGUAACGAGUAUAAACGUAGAGCGAAAGAGGGGAUGAGGAAUACCGAAAAAGAGGUGGUCGGAUGCGAUUGACAAACGAUGCGAGAACUAUGCGGAGGAUCGAGCCGAGUGGGAGUUUAGGACCCACACUGUAGUCGGGACGAAGAAA
Molecule: non-coding RNA, 572 nt
Organism: Cinara cedri
Lineage: Eukaryota; Metazoa; Arthropoda; Insecta; Hemiptera; Aphididae
Source: the annotation of a GenBank genome assembly